RNAcentral lists this unclassified non-coding RNA (23 nucleotides) under Mus musculus (house mouse). RNAcentral describes it as "oocyte_clustered_small_RNA9723". The record is from RNAcentral. Lineage: Eukaryota; Metazoa; Chordata; Mammalia; Rodentia; Muridae.
UUCGCAGAUGCUGUCCAUGGGGG